RNAcentral lists this long non-coding RNA (831 nucleotides) under Olea europaea subsp. europaea. Lineage: Eukaryota; Viridiplantae; Streptophyta; Magnoliopsida; Lamiales; Oleaceae. The record is from RNAcentral.
AUUAACUUCUCUUUAUUUUUUUUUCUCUUUUCUCUCUUUAUAUAACUCGUUAUCAGCACUGUUGACCUCGGUAAUUGGAUCCUCCACGUGGCCAAUCGAUAGCCACUCCACGUAUUCCUCCAUGCGCACAAUCAACGCACGAUCAGAUAUACACGACCGAGACCAGCGGGGGUGACGACGACCGUAUACGCUCCAACAGUCAAGUUAAACUCAGGUGAUCGGAAUAGUAUCAAGGUUGUGCAAAAUAGUGGGAAAGAGAAUAUAUAUUUGCUUGCCAUGGAGCGCUAAAUAAGAAAAAUUUCAUUAACUUUAUCUCUUGCUAAGCCUUGGGUAUUUAUAGGUGAGAAGAGUCGUUGGAUGUGAGACACGUGUAUACAUCUGAACGAUAUGAGGCGUCUGCUCAUAGGCGUCAAUCAGCCUCGUCUGUAGAGCGGGCGGGUAGUUACUUCUCCCAAGUUGAGUUGACAUAAAGUUGAUAGGUCACAUCAACUAACCUCAUGAAGACGUCAAAUCACUUUAAACCUUAGGGGCAGAAAAGAUUUUGACAAAGAUCUCAUUCUGAAAUCGACAGCGGAUCCUCAGACUGAGGUCCACGAGGAUCAUUUCGCCUUGGCUUCAGGGGGAUAGGGUGCUUCGGCCAGUCAUGCAGAAUUACAUAUGUCUUGUAGUGUGAUAGAAGAUCAUCUCAAUUGGAACCACUUCAUAUAAGCGUUCCAGACCUCGCCUGAUGUGGUGGUGGACUUUUCGAAGUUGAACCACUUCAUAUGAGUGUUCCAUAUCUCACCUGAUGUGGGUUCAGUUAGGGACGUAACAGUGGUCUCCCAAGUCCAG